GCCUUUGUGGUGUAACGGUAGCACACUCGGCGCGUAUUCGAGAGAUUCAGGUUCGAGUCCCGGCGAGGGCA
This 71-nucleotide transfer RNA is filed under the name Stegodyphus mimosarum. It matches the Rfam family "tRNA". Rfam says of the family: Transfer RNA (tRNA) molecules are approximately 80 nucleotides in length. The record is from Rfam by way of RNAcentral. Lineage: Eukaryota; Metazoa; Arthropoda; Arachnida; Araneae; Eresidae.